This is a long non-coding RNA of Coregonus clupeaformis (lake whitefish), 331 nucleotides long. RefSeq lists it as uncharacterized. The record is from RefSeq and is a predicted model, not a curated record. The transcript has 4 exons. NCBI's taxonomy places the organism in Eukaryota, Metazoa, Chordata, Actinopteri, Salmoniformes, Salmonidae.
UACAACUGUUUGGGAUUACAGUGUAGUUGCGGUGCGUGAAACAAGUCGGUCAGGGGACGAACGUGAGUUUACGUGAACUUCGCCGCUUUUUGUAUUCUUCAAUGAGCUCGUCUAGGCACUUGUAGCUGCUUGGAGUGAAGACGGGACUGGGAGACCGCUGCCGGGAUCACUACCAGAGUUUUUAAUUCCAGUCGGGAUUAAACAUGAAAUUCUGGAUUUGUGUACUCGCUGUCAGCUGGGCAGUAGAAGCGACACACGGGGGGACCAGCCAGGAGCCGUGUAAUGGUCUGGACUGUAGUGGAGGAUGUAACUGUAACCCAGAGAAAGGUGG